UGGGGAUAUAGCUUAGCUGGUAGAGCGCCUCCAUGGCAUGGAGGAGGUCAGGAGUUCGAAUCUCCUUAUCUCCAU
This 75-nucleotide transfer RNA is filed under the name Tengunoibacter tsumagoiensis. RNAcentral's name for it is "tRNA-Ala". It matches the Rfam family "tRNA". Rfam says of the family: Transfer RNA (tRNA) molecules are approximately 80 nucleotides in length. Their secondary structure includes four short double-helical elements and three loops (D, anti-codon, and T loops). The record is from RNAcentral. Lineage: Bacteria; Bacillati; Chloroflexota; Ktedonobacteria; Ktedonobacterales; Dictyobacteraceae.